This 596-nucleotide ribosomal RNA is filed under the name Punctodera stonei. RNAcentral's name for it is "eukaryotic LSU rRNA". It matches the Rfam family "Eukaryotic large subunit ribosomal RNA", at positions 208 to 669 of the family's 3401-position model. Lineage: Eukaryota; Metazoa; Nematoda; Chromadorea; Rhabditida; Heteroderidae. The record is from RNAcentral.
AAGGUCAAGACUGUCCACGAGUGGUUGCCUAUCUAUCUUUGCGUGUCUUGGAGUCGGGUUGUUUGGGAUCGCAGCCCAAAGUAGGUGGUAAACUUCAUCUAAGACUGAAUACGGCCACGAGUCCGAUAGCGAACAAGUACCGUGAGGGAAAGUUGCAAAGCACUUUGAAGAGAGAGUUAAAGAGGACGUGAAACCGAUGAGAUGGAAACGGACAGAGCUGGCGUAUCUGGUCUGCAUUCAUCCGUGUGUUCUUGGGCGUUUKGGUUGCUACUCUCCAGACUGGGAUGGUGCUUAUUCUGCUCAGGGGCUCAUGGAGCAUUUGCAGGCGGAGUGCGCUGAGACGCUYGGAGCAGCUGCAUGAGCUUAGCUUUGAGGCCAGCCCUUCGGGGUCUGGUACCCGGGCUGGGGGAGUGCUGUUUGUUCUGGGUGUUGAGUGUGUGCAAUGGCAUCGGGUCCGUGUUGGUUUGAGCUGGCGGUUGGUGGCAGUCGCGUGCGACACGUGCCAGCAGUUAGUUCGGUCCUGCUCGGGCUCUCUUUGCAUGUUCUCAGUGUAAAAGCCGGUCAUCUGUCCGACCCGUCUUGAACACCSGGACCAA